CUCUUCUCUCUCAUUCUCCCUGUGAUUUUCCCCUCUCUUCUACUACCACAGCCAUCGUUACCAUCAACAUCAAAACCAUCGUCGAGGAAGAAAGUUAUCUUGUUUAUUAUAUGUUUGAGGAGGCAAUCACUUGGUCUUCUUCUGAUGAAAGAUUACACAAAGAUGAUUACCCCUAAACAAUAAAAGAUGUUGAGUUGUUUUACAAUGAUGGAAUCGGCUGGGAUGGCAUAUGUUGAAUCUUUAAAACAGUUGGGAAGAUACUAUCAUGCGUUAUGCCUAUGAGUUGCUGACGAAUGCAUCGUGGGAGAGCGACGAUGAUGCAUUUGGUGAUGUGGGGUUUGUAGUUUAGCAGCAGAAUAUUAUGAAUUUGGACAAGAUUCUACAUAGUUGAUUGACAAUGCCCCUGAAGUCUACCCCCACCUAAUCCCAGGUGGAUCCUCUCCUUUCGUUGUGCUUAGAUAUGGGGUUUCUUCGGUGAUACAUGUUGGUCAUGACGAUGGAGCUCUACUUGCAUUAAAAGCUGCAGAACGAGUCCGGACGUCCAAUAUGUAUAUUUGAUAGUUUUUUCUUAUGAUAACAUUUGAAGAGAAUAAAAUGUCCCCCAUGUUCCUGUAUCACAAAUGUUCUGGUAUGGCCGAGUUUGGCAUUACGUGUCCUUGUCAUGUCUGACACCCAUACUCAUGUUUGUGCAACCUAGUCGACAACUUGUGCUCCUUUAUUUGAUCUCUUUAACACUUUACAUGCAUCUAUGUUGUUCCAGCAUUCUACAUUUAGAGCAACCUAACAAUUUAUCUUUUUGGAAGAGUAAUCUGACUUAAACUUCACUGAUUUGGCUGUUUUUUGCAGUAGUAUCGUCGAAUACUUGGGAUUAUCUGGGGAUUGGGUACUUGAGCUAUUUUCGCUAGUAUAACUCCUGUGCUAUCAACUUUAAUACAAGGGAUGGGUUCAAUCUGCUGCAGACACGGCCAUUACAGUGAAGACCGAAGAAAAUGCACAUGCUGCAGAGAUUGAGAGGCGUUAAUCUAUUUAAUAACUUUCAGUAAUAUUUACCACCAUACACAUACAGGAAACCUAUACUCGUGGAAAUGAACUGCAACUCCCCAAUUGUGCCAACUAUUCAAUGGACAAUUUGCAAAGAUUAUCUGAUGUGAAUUAUGUCCCAACGAAGGAAGAUGUUCUUUAUGCAAGAGGUCUCACGAGUGGUGUUGUAGAAAUACAGUUCAGCCAUGUCGGAGAGAACAAAAAAAGUGGUGAAGUUUAUACUCUUUGAUGUUGGUGGCAAAAGAAAUGAGAAAGUGCAUCCAUCUGUUUGAAGACUCUCUUUGAGGAUGAUAACAAGAACCUGAUGAUGGAGACGAAGGAGUUAUGCGACUGGGAUCCGAAACAGCCAUGCUUUGAGAAAACAUCCAUCAUGUUGUUCCUCAAUAAGUUUGACAUAUUCUAAAAGAAAGUCCUAAAUGUACCGUUAAAUGCGUGUGACUGGUUCAAAGAUUAUCAGCCUGUGUCAAUGGGGAAACAAGAGAUUGAGCAUGCAUAUGAGUAAGUUACAGAUCAAUGGUGUGGUGCUGCUCGGUGUUAGUCCAUCAAGAGAACUUGUUCCUAAUCAACUGAUACUCAUAACUGCUUAUGUACCAAAUGAAUGGCUUUGAAUGAGGAAGUCCCUUUUGCAGUAAGAUUCUAAACUAUUUUUACUUUUUGAGUUCGUAUUUCAGUUACAGAUCAAUGGUGUGGUGCUGCUCGGUGUUAGUCCAUCAAGAGAACUUGUUCCUUCCUUUGUUAGGAUUGUGGUACGUAUUUCACUUGGGUAAAAACGCUUGGUGCGUCCUUCGUUCCGAACUGAGAUUACUCAAGUUAUAACCUGCGAGCAUGGAACAGUUCUUUCAGCCCAAAAUGCAGAACCGAGUUCACUCUGUUUUGUGAAGAUUCCUUGAUGCAUAGAGCUGCAGCUGCAGAAAUGUCAUUCCUUUUGGAGCCUAGCAAGAAGUCUGAAGUCAUCAAACUAAUUGAAGCUUCUAGUUCGAAAAACAAGUUUCAGUGACCUGAUAAGGAAACUUCAACAGCUUGUACCAAAUUAGGAUAAGGUAUAAACUUCAAGAGUUUCGAUCAACUGACUAUCCUGAACUUUUAGAAGGGUAUUUAUAUCCAUCAUUCUAAAUAUUAUGUUACUAGUUCUUUUUAUAUACUUCUGGUUCCCAGGCUCCCUCAUCUGUUUACUUGCCUAUUGAUGUUGUUAUUGUACUUAUUAGGACUUGUGCAUGUUGGUGUCCAUUCGACGUUUAAAUAUUUUUGUAUCAGUCUUGAACUGAAUUUAUGAACAGAACGAAUGUUCAAUGGAAUCCAUUAAUCUCAGUGAAUUGUGAUAUGAAUACUGUAAAUAAUUCACAAAGA
Molecule: long non-coding RNA, 2388 nt
Organism: Papaver somniferum (opium poppy)
Lineage: Eukaryota; Viridiplantae; Streptophyta; Magnoliopsida; Ranunculales; Papaveraceae
Exons: 11
Source: RefSeq, a predicted model, not a curated record